AUGUAGGGUAGAUGUUUGAUGGAUGAAUGUUUGAUGGAUGAAUGUUGGAUGGGUGUAGGGUAGAUGAUGGCUGGAUGGAUGUAGGGUAGAUGUUGGAUGGAUGUAGGAUAGAUGAUGGAUGUAGGGUAGAUGUUUGAUGGAUGGAUGUUGGAUGGAUGUAGGAUGUUGGAUAUAUGGAUGGAUGGAUGUUGACCAGAUGUUGGAUAUAUGGAUGGAUGUUGGAUGUGUGGAUGUUGGAUGGAUAUUGAUAUAUUCUUAUUUAUUUUAAUACAUUUUUUUAUUUAUUUUAGGGCCUGAACACUGAAAGUGUGUGGGGCAUAUGUUAAAUAUUUCAAAGGAUUUUUCAUUUCUUUAAAUAUCUCUAUAUCAUGAUUUCAAAAUUUGAGGCUUCACUGGAAAGAACAACUUGUGUUAACAUGACAUUAUGGAUUUAGUCCAAUCAAACAUAAUUUCAAUGCCUAUAUAAGAGAAACUGUUGGGUUUACAUAAAAGUUUAGGCUGAUGUUAUUCAAACAUUGAGUGCAGAUUGUACAGACCACUAGACAUUAAAUUAAUAAUUUGUUUUAAAAAUUUCAUAAAAAGUUUAUUGACUGACAACUGUGUGGCAUAAACUGUGUCAUUACAAUAAAAUUGGUCAUUUCAGUUUUGUCAUAAAA
Molecule: long non-coding RNA, 656 nt
Organism: Carassius carassius (crucian carp)
Lineage: Eukaryota; Metazoa; Chordata; Actinopteri; Cypriniformes; Cyprinidae
Exons: 2
Source: RefSeq, a predicted model, not a curated record